This is a long non-coding RNA of Acanthochromis polyacanthus (spiny chromis), 215 nucleotides long. RefSeq lists it as uncharacterized. Lineage: Eukaryota; Metazoa; Chordata; Actinopteri; Pomacentridae. The record is from RefSeq and is a predicted model, not a curated record. The transcript is spliced from 3 exons.
ACACGGACGAGAUUGUUGACACCGGCUGUAAGGACUUGUCUCCUAAAAUCCCGGUCUUUGAGAUGGCCAUAGCAGAAAGUGUCAACGAAAUGGACCAGGAGGUUUCACCCGCCACCACCACUGCAGGGACGGCAGCAAGGAAGAUUGCAUGGGACACGACGGAGACGACGGAGGAGAAGAAGACACCGUGGUGGCGCCGGUUUUGUCAUGUUUCC